This 4296-nucleotide long non-coding RNA is filed under the name Olea europaea subsp. europaea. The record is from RNAcentral. Lineage: Eukaryota; Viridiplantae; Streptophyta; Magnoliopsida; Lamiales; Oleaceae.
UUUUGGAUAAAGUAUGAACUAAGUGGGCAUGAAAAUGGAAAAUGAAUAUUAGUAAUACUGGAAGGAGAUGAAGAUGAAAAUGGAAAAUGAAUAUUAGUAAUACUGUCUGAACUUUAUGAUCCUCUUCUCUAACAUCAAUCUUUACUGCUGAGGAAUUCUGUUAUUGCUGCCGGCCUAUUCUGAAUAUGUGACUUCUUUCUGUUUUAAAUUUGCUACUUUUAUGUCGUAACUUUGAACUUUGCUUCAGAAUCUUCUCUUCCAGUUAUAUUUUGCGGUUUAUGACUUUCUAGAUUGAUUAACAUAGAAAAUAGAUAAACUAUACAGUUAACAACUGGUUGAGGAUGUAAACGCUUGACAAUGGGAGAAUGUAGUUUCAAAAUCAAAGAAAAUCCUUUGGUAACAAUUUAUAUCUCAUUUGGCCUAAUAGAAGUUUCGUUUGUAGCCAUUUGAAAUCAUAAAUUACUUUGUAUUACAAGUAACGUUUCUUUAAUUUUUCUGUCAUUUUUUAAGUUUCAAGAUUCAUGUAAUGAAUUUUCUGUUUUCAUUGGAACAUGAGGGGAAAUUGUGAUUAAUUCAGAGUUAUGACAUGCGUGUGCAGGCCCAUUCGUUUGUUUACCUCCUGUGGGAAGUCUUGUGGUCUAUUUUCCUCAAGGUCAUAGUGAACAAGUACGUCCUUUCUCUCCUUUCUCUCUAUUUCGAGAAAUAUUGUAAAUUUUCACACGAUAUCUGAUAUGUACUUGUAUAUAUUCUAUUUGUAGGUGGCAGCAUUGAUUCAAAAGGAGGCUGAGAGCAUCCCAAGUUAUCCAAACCUUCCGUCGAAGUUGAUCUCCAUGCUCCAUAAUGUCAAUUUACAUGUAUGAACACUUCCAUAGUGCAACGGAAACUUUUAAACAUUUUUUUCUCCGUGUCGAAAUUUAUUUUCUUCUUGGGUUUUAUACUAGAUAAGUACUUGAUGAUCGUCAAUUUGAUCUACUAUGCAAUAAAUCAAUAUCAAUAAUGAUGUUCAAUUUGAUCUAUCUAUGCAGUAAGUCAACAUCAGCGAUAUUUAUCUUCAAUGGCUUUAGUUGUUAUUUGACUGGAUCAAUCUUAUGUUUCUUUAUCCUCUCCUCAGUAAGUUUUUUCCCCUGCCUUCCUUUUCAUGGUACUUCAAUUUGUGAUUUUUGGCUCUUUAAGAGAGAAUAUGGAUGGGAUCAUUUUACUGUAUUUCAAGAUUUUUAUGGUGAUGAGUUUCUGGUUCAUGCCCCAAUGUUCUCUCUUUUCACAUGUGAAAAAGGAUCUUGUUUUCUUGCUGUCGUUUUUGCUGUCUCACAUCUGCUUGCAGAGUCAACCACUUGAUGGUGGCUGUAUAUGUAGUUGUACAGGCAGCUGUUCCAUCUUUAAUGUUUGUGUUGUUUCCCAUUUCAGCAUCUUGUCAGUUAUUGCUUUGACAUGUAUGAUUCACAAUUUAUGUUUAAUGUGUGUGCACAUUAUAUUGUAUUUUCACAUGCCUAACAAAUGGGGGGGGAAAAAAAAGUGCUAGCAGAUUUUGACAAUACUGUGAGUUAAUUUGUUGUACUUUAUAGUUAGGAGUUGUUUCAAAAAGUUCUCCAUAAAAAGGUUUGUGGAUUUAGAUAAAAGAUGGUGAAAUGUGUCACAUGUGGUUGAAAAGUUGAUAAAAGUUGUGUGUUCCAUGAUAUUAUGGUUAAAAUCAAUUUUUUAGCAACAUUUUUUGCUUUCCUGAACAAGCACUUUGUAGAUAAGCAUUUACUAUCCCCUUACGUAUUAGACUGCAAAUAAUUCUCUUUCUUUCCUUUUCUUUUGUCCCGUCUGUAUUUGUUCCUUUUGGCAUAAUUAUUUUCGUUCAAUCAGUGCAAGCAAUAUGAGAAGGACCUAAUGGACAUGAUCGAUAGAGAAGUGGAUGGAAGUGAUAGUCUUGAGGGGAUUUGUUCUGUGCCAUUCAAUUGCUAGUGGUACAAGCUAAGGUUUCCAAAUCCUAUCACAUUGUGCAAAUUUUCUAUGUAAAUUCCAAAAUAUGAAUGUCUUGAUUCAUAUUUGAUUUUCAUAAGAAUAUGAAACUGGUUUUGUACUGUUCACGGAAGGACAGGUCAACUGCACUGUAGAGGCCCAAUUUAUUCUCUCUGCUUUCACUGUAUAUACUCAAUGUAUCUAUCUCUUCCUUUUCAUUUCUUCCCCCAUUUAGCCAUCCUUGUUGACUAUAUAAUAGUUAUUUGCUUUCCAUGUAGCCACCAUUCUUUCUAGCUACAGUGGUUCUGCAUUGUUCAUUAAAUGAUCGCCCUAACAAAGCGUCAUUUCUUCCAUCUCUAAACCCUCUUUUUUCUUUCCCGAAUUUCAAUCCCCAUUCCCAACACACUUUAAUUCCUCCUACAACGCUAAAAACCCUUCAAUUAAUUUCAUCUCUCCAGGAAUGAGCUGGCUGUACAAGCUUAGAUUUGGUGUUCUUAACUCCACCGACUCCAUGUGGAUUCCUCUUUCGAUUCUUCCAUAGCGCAUGGGACUAGACGAUCAUGUACUCGCUCUGAGCCAUCAGUUCGUGCAAUUCGAAGGAGGUAGAGAAUAUAGUAUUGGCUUCCUCCAUUGCAAUUUAUUGUUGAGUUUUUUUAAAACAGUAUUUAAUCGUAUCCCCAAGAAAAAUUUAUGAAUUUCAGUUCAGAAAUUUGAGAAAAAAUGUGAAGUUUAGGUUUGCUUUCAUCUUAAAUGUCUUAAAAGUUUGUUCUUAUUGGCAAAAAGUUUUAAAUUUCUGCAUUUAUUUAAUUAAGCUUGCUCAUUUUUAUCACCGGCAAAACUAAGAUUUCAGAUUUUGGGUGUGGUGUGGGGCUGAGCAACAUAGGGAAGCAGCAAUGCACAAAGGUCACUCAGAUUAAAAGGCUAAUUGCUAGAAACUGGUGAAUAUAAGCACAAGGAAGAUUUGGAAAUGCUUAUAAAUUUAGAGCUGGGGAAGUUAAAUUAUGUUGAGAACGAGUUCCGGAAUUAUGAAUAUAUUGUAAGAAAAAAUAAUAAAUGAGAUUGUAUAUAAAAUAAAAAGUGGAGCAAUUUGAUUGAAUUAUGCCACUAUGAGUUUUAAUUUUUGAUUUCUUUUAUUUUUUGAUUGUCAAAUUUGUCGACGAAUAAAUGAAACAUAGGAUUGAGUUGAGUAUGACGUGGAGAAAUGUGACUAGAGAGCUUGAAACAUUGACCUCUUGAAAAUUAACUUUUGAGAACGUGAAAACUUCCAACUAGAAAGUAGAAACUGCAUGAUCGGCUGAAUAAUUUGUAAAAAGAAGUGACAAACUGUAAUUUCUCUAUUUUGUGAUUUAUGUUUUCGUGAACAUUAUUGUAGCUAGAUGUUCCUUUAGUUUAUCAUUCACAUAUUGAAAUGAGAUAUUGCACAUGCUAGAAGAAAUAUGUAAUCCUCCUUCUGGUUCUUGGCAAAAUUUGAAGGUGAGUAGAAUUUUCUGAGUACGAACUUUGUUGUUGUUGUUUUUUUUUCUGGCAAUUAUAUUUAUCUUGUGAAAAACUGUUUCAGGAUUACAUGUGAAAAUCUAGGGAUGUUUUUUUUCUCAAGUUUCUUGUGAUGAUGAUGGUAAGUUAUUUUACUCAAUACAAUUUUUUUUACUAUAGAGAUGCUAAUGGCUCCGUGCAACCUUGUUAAUGGGGUUUAUAAACAUUUGUUACUAUAUUCAGGAACCUUUGGCAUAGUUAACUAUAGUAAUUGCUAAAACAUUAAUUAUGUUGUAAGUCACAGUUGUAUUCAUCUUCAAAAUGUUUGAGCUUCUGUGCAUCCAUGAAUUUUUCUAGUCAAUUUGGUAAUUUGUUGUCCUCUUGCUCAGAUCCGGAAAUUUGAUGAUCACGAUUUGAAGAAUCUUUCGACCAGAAUAAUAUCCGGGUAUUCUUUUAUAUUUUUUCUCUUCUUUGUCUGUUUUUCUUCUCUUUUAAGGGAUUAAAUUUUCAAAGAAUGUCGUUUCUUCUUUAUCAAAAAAAAAAAAAAAACCCAAAGCAAGCACUUGGAAUUCAGUUUCUAUUUCUAAUAUAGUGUUAGAAAUUACAUUUGUGCCUUUGUAACCUAUACAAUGCUCAAAUCUUGAACUUCUUACUUCUUAGAGGGAUUUAACUCUUACAGUAUCGUAAUUUUUACUACUAAAAUCUAAGAAUUCGUACAAUAAUAUCUUUACGAAAGUAACUAUCUUAUGAAAUAAUAAACUUUUUUCUUUGUAAAUCAAUAAAUUCAGGUAAAGGAAUACAAGCACAGCCCAUCAAGAAGGCCACGUAGGAGCCGCCGUAGAAUAUCGUAAUUCUUACUACUGAAAUCUAAGAAUUCGU